AUGAACGCUGGCGGCGUGCCUAAUACAUGCAAGUCGAGCGAACGGACGAGAAGCUUGCUUCUCUGAUGUUAGCGGCGGACGGGUGAGUAACACGUGGAUAACCUACCUAUAAGACUGGGAUAACUUCGGGAAACCGGAGCUAAUACCGGAUGAUAUUUUGAACCGCCUGGUUCAAAAGUGAAAGACGGUCUUGCUGUCACUUAUAGAUGGAUCCGCGCUGCAUUAGCUAGUUGGUAAGGUAACGGCUUACCAAGGCAACGAUGCAUAGCCGACCUGAGAGGGUGAUCGGCCACACUGGAACUGAGACACGGUCCAGACUCCUACGGGAGGCAGCAGUAGGGAAUCUUCCGCAAAGGGCGAAAGCCUGACGGAGCAACGCCGCGUGAGUGAUGAAGGUCUUCGGAUCGUAAAACUCUGUUAUUAGGGAAGAACAUAUGUGUAAGUAACUGUGCACAUCUUGACGGUACCUAAUCAGAAAGCCACGGCUAACUACGUG
This 496-nucleotide ribosomal RNA is filed under the name uncultured bacterium. Its description in RNAcentral is "partial 16S ribosomal RNA". It matches the Rfam family "Bacterial small subunit ribosomal RNA", at positions 29 to 507 of the family's 1533-position model. The record is from RNAcentral.